UCUCUUUCCUCUCCUCUCCUCUCCUCUCCUCUCCUCUCCUCUCUUCUUUUGCCGCUGAACUUAGGGUUGACUGAAGGUCUGGGCAGCAUGUGGGUAAUCUUCCGCCGCUCGGGUAUGGUUGGAAAUUGUCCGUGUGCAUCGGUGGGACUUGAACCUAGGUCCUUGGGGUCACGACGUCCGUACGCUAACCACCCGGCCACCGCCUCCCCAGCUGUGUGGCUGUGUUCUUGCCAUGGUGCAGUACACUUCUUUUUCCGGACUAUUUGCAUUGUCUAUUUACAACGAAAUUAAUAAAAAUAAAAAUACCGUGUAAGUAGGUAAUGAUUUGUCAGUUCCAAUAGAAUUCUACAUUAUUUUGUGUGUGUGUGCAUGUGAGUGUGGAUGUGCUAUGAUUCACUGAUUGGGAACAUUAAGUUCAGUCAUUCCUUUCUGUUCAAGGCAGCGUGAAGUGAGCGUCGCCUCGCGUCGUCAUCGGCUGUGGUGAGUUAUACAAAAUGUUUCCCCUCCGGCCUGUCUCGGAGAGUGUUUCCAUCCGCAGUCCAUCAGCAUUUUUCAUUGCCAUCUCACGACUCCUUUAGUCAUUACAUCACUUAGAGAGCAUUAUUGACCAUCUAGCGAAACAUAAUAUGAUUCAUAUUGUCUAAGUGAAUAUUGUUUUAGUAAUCUUCUGUCGUUUUACAGAACUGUGUACGAAGUUGCAGUUUGAGACUAAAUUUAUGACAUUAUAUGUCUUGCUUUUAGUUAAGCAUUCGACAGGGUGUCUCAGCAAAGGCUUUGAAGUGAGCUAAUGGUCAAUGGGAUGGAGGGUAAAGUUUUGAGAUGGAUCAUGGCGUGGCUCAAUGAUGCGGAGAGUCCAGUGCACGACAAAAAAUUUGGUUGAACUCACGUCACUAUCAGUAUCAUUUACAUUGGCGAUCUUGAUUGUGGCAUAACCAGACAUCAGCAUGGUCUGGCUGGUCCACUUAACAGGUAACGCAGCCAGACAAAUGUUUCACUCUUGGCAUCUUGUACGGUACCAGCCUCUUGCCCUCAAUUCUGUCCAGCUGCGCCUCGCCCCAUCGCAUAAGUAGCGGCAGCGUCAGGUCACCUCGAGAACCAGACUGUCCAUUGUUUGUCUCGACGCUCGCCGGGUGUUGGUGGAGCGGCGUUCGGCGUGCCUCCUCGUGUUUGUGUUGCCGCCUCUGGCUCGGCCGCCGCGGAACAGGAAGCAGGAAAACUCGGUAAAAUCGUUGUUAUUUGAGUCGCACCUCCACCUGUGUAAACAUCGGACGUAAAUGCACGAAUGUGUAUAUUUGUUUGCUAAAGGCAACUCCAGCUGUCAUCCACCUCCUUGUCAAGUCAGGUGUUGUAGAUCAUCGUCAUUAUCACCAUCAUCAUCGUCAUUAUCAUCAUCAUCAUCGUCAUUAUCAUCAUUAUCAUCUUAAACCAUUAUUAGUCCACUGUAUACAUGACAAACGGCUUUCUCAACGUUCUCCUCCUCUCUCUGUUAUAGUAUGCUUCGCCCUGCUCCGACAUAUGACUCUACCUGUACUGACUACAAUUUCUUGUCUGUCACUCCAUGGUGCAGUGGUUAGCGUGAUUAGCUACGAAUCCGCGGGCCCGGGUUCGAAUCCCGAGCGGGCAGUCGGCGCGCAGCCUACCCAGCUUUCCAUCCUCCCUUUCAGGCUGGUCGAUAAAUGUGUACGUACCUGGGGAAACCUGGGGAAGGUAAACUGUGGUAACCCGGAUGUCACGCUGACCCUGUGUCCCGGGGUGAUGAGUCCUUACCCACCACAGGCUUAAAGGUCAGUGCGACAGAGAUGAGCACCGAGGCAACGCGCAGCUAUAGCGUGUUGCCCUAACUUUACCUUUAUUACUAUGUACCUUUAUUACUUUCGUUGUCCGUCUGUUAACAAUGCGACGCGGGAUAUGAUCUGGUAAUUUCUUAACCCUGCCCCUCUGUCCCUCCAUUUCUGUAAUCUGUAUUCUCUCGUCCUUUUUUCCUAUCUCGCCGCUUGCCCUUUAAUUUUCUCUUUUUUAGCGUCUCGGGUGUUUGGGGGAUGCUGAACAGGCGGCGUGUAGUGUUCGCACUCCUUCCCCUCUACCUGUUUCGUCUAAUAAUAAUAAUAAUAAUAAUAAUAAUAAUAAUAAUAAUAAUAAUAACAAGUAAUUAAAAUGUCUCCAAACUUUGUCUUUUCUCUAAUAACUGAGAUACAACAAUAAUAAAAAGAAAUUGUCUUUUAACUUCCGAUCACCAAAACUUUACAAAAAAAAAAAAUGAGAAGCAACGAAACUAUUGAAGCGUUAAUCAUUCCAAUAUUUUUUUGCGAAGUAUCAACAACGCUGACUUUUACAGAUGUAACGGUGGGCGAAGAAUAUCACCAGGUAGUUUUCCCUGGCCCGUAACAAAUGAUCAUAGACGAGAACACACUCAUUAGAUAGAAACUACCCGCCACACGACUUAUCAGCGACAGAAAUCCGCAGGCCGAGAGGAAAAGACGAGACGGCGCAAGCAUCGAGGCUGGCCACCACAUAGACACUUUGUGCAAUGCUGCGGCGGCGAGGAGAUUGAGGGAAAGUCUGUGAGAAAGAGAUUGAUGAAAUAAGUGUCUCCUGCGCCAUUGGUUCACGUGGGGGGGAGGGGGUGCAGGGGCAGGCUGGGGGAGGAGGAGGAAGUGAAGGGCCGGAGUUGGAAGGAGCAAGUGGCGGGCUGGGGUGUGAAGCAGGAAGUGGCGGGUUGGGGGUGUGAGGAGAACCGGUAGCGUUGGGGGAGGGAGGGGGGGAAGGAGGUGAAGGCGGGUAUGAUCAAGGCCGUGCAUGGGUAUAUGGUCCAGCUCUAUGACCCUGCAGCUAUGCCUCAAGGCUCGGGGCCGAACAUAAUAGAAACAAAUCUGCUGUGAGAGUGUGGGCACAAGGAUCCACAGAGAUAUAAUAGUAAACUACAAAAGGCGGUCGACUUAUACAGUGUACCUUCUGAGUCCUCGUUAUUUACCAUUUGCCAUUUUUUUUGUAAAUAUCAUAACCCCCAUUUAAAAAUUUAUACCGCAUUUGAAUCAACUAUACAGCAUUUGCUUAUUUUGUUCCACUCGUCCACUACUUUGUCAACCAGUUUUUUGCCUCUCCUGACAGGACUAGGAUUUAUCUAAUUUAUACCCAUUGCUACGGGGUCAUAAUCCCCGUUUAAUAUGAAUAUUUUAUCAUCACUUAAUUCUUCGAACCCAUUAAUUUUUUUAUUGUAUUUCACCGCUCAUUCUACCUCUUUCCAAAAAAUACAAAGCAAACAUCUUAAUUUUUUAUCUGUAUGGUUAGAGUCUAAAACACUAAGCCCUCGAAAAAUAUUGGUUAUUCUUUCCUACUGAUUCGAGGAAUUUUUAUUAAUGUAAUAAAGGAACCAAAACUGAACCGUUUAGUCGUGAUGGGCCUACCCAGUGCCAAAAAUGAUUAAAGGAGAACUUUCGAGCUCUUGCUACUAACACUUCUGGAAAUGAACCUGCCACUUUUCAGCCAGUUUUCAGUCUGUUCUGGCAGUGGUGCGGAGAUUGCUGGGUCGGGAAUCAAAGCCCACACGCAUUGUCAUUGUUACGCACCCCUGAGGCACUUCCGCAGCUGGCAUGACAGGGAUAGAUUAAUGUAAAUGAUAAACAAUAAUGGCCCUAAAGCUGAUCCUUGAGGGACACCGUAACUAGAUUCGCGGUAUAUAAUAAAAUAGUUUUCGUUGCUAUCUGCCACUUCGUAACAAACGACUUGCUCAGAGUGUUGGAGGCCAUGAAUCAUAAUAUUAACUAUGUUUACCGAAAUGGUCACGAAUGUUUUUUGCUAUGAAAGAUCAACAUUUUCCUCGCUACCACUGGCACACUAACGGCCAGUAUUUUGAUAGAACUGAGUUAACCCCUCCUUGAAUGCCGGUACAACAUAUUUUUAAGCCGAGGGGAUACGCUAUAGAUGCGCCUGACCGCUGUGCUGAUCUCUGUACCAUUGGCCAUUGUCGGUACUACUCAGGUGUCGAAAGACUUUCUGAAAAUGUUAGCCAGAGGUUCGGCAAAUAUAUCCCUUGCUUCUUUUUAGUACGCACGGGAAAAUAUUAUUGGCUACUGAUGUGCUUGAAAAACUAACUGACUGGGAAAAUAAAUGUCUGCUAAUUUAACUGACUUAGAAAUGGAGUGACCAAGGGAUGAGCUGAACGGGAAAUGAACUGACUUGGAUACUAACUGACUGCGGAAUGAUCUCACUGGGAUGGAAAUUAACCGGUUGGAAAUUAAGAACGAUGUCAUAAUUACCUACAUCUUUCCUGAGCUUUUUCUAUGAACCCUGCCUUAGACAAAGUAUAAAUCUCAACAUUGGGGAUCAAAUUCCUCUGAAAGGAAAACAGAGACAAAAGAACAACAAAUGAAUUAAACGAAAGACAAUCAAACACAACAGACAUUUCGAAGACGUUUAUUGUUGCAUCCAGCGAAAGGCAAAGAAAGGCACAAGCUUGGCCAAGAUCUGCGGUGCGGCGUGAGUGAGCACAGUGGCAUCGGGAGUGAGCGGAGAGUCAGCGUAACGACCUGACGAGCCAUCAUCGGAAGGGCGUGGGAGAGUGCGAGUCUCCAUCCGUCUGUCCACGACUCUCGCACGACCGCCAGUUAUUUUUAUGAAGACACCGGAGAGAAAAGAACAUUACACGUAUAUUGUUUUAGUAUCCGUCCGCUCACUCCCUCACGAUGACUCACAUGACUAAUAGCUGCUGGUUAUGCUUAUUAGAAUGCUGAGGAGAACAGAAUGUAACACGUGCAUUGCUUCUAGUACUCAUGGUGGGUCAAUAAAGGAGUAUCGUUGAAGAGAUGAGGUCGUGGGAGCAGGCGUCCACUCACCACGGCAGUGCAAGAAAAGCGGGUGUCAAUUCUUAGUACUAAAAUGACGUAGGAAACAGAACAUUAGGCGUCCAUUGUUUCUAGUGCACUGGAGGGGCUUAUUGAGUGUCGAUAAGGAGAUGAGGUCGUGAGAGGAGGCUGGGGGACGUUCUUAAACAUUUCGGCGCCCAAGCAAACAUUUGACAAAGCUUUCGUGGGAAUUUUGAACAUUUCUCUGGAUAGUUUUAUAACCCUGGUGGUAGUUGAACUCUUCUUCUGUAGCAUGAACUUAAAAAAAAACUCGUUAGAACCCGACUGAUCUCCUUUUGGACCUUUGGAUAUAGUUGACGUGAGAUGCGGAAGCGUUUGUGAAUGACAUUAAACUCGUUCCAACUGUAUAAGCGGGUUCCAACUGUAUAAGCGGGUUCCAACUGUAUAAGCGGGUUCCAACUGUAUAAGCGGGUUCCAACUGUAUAAGCGGGUUCCAACUGUAUAAGCGGGUUCCAACUAUAUAAGCGGGUUCCAACUGUAUAAGCGGGUUCCAACUAUAUAAGCGGGUUCCAACUGUAUAAGCGGGUUCCAACUAUAUAAGCGGGUUCCAACUGUAUAAGCGGGUUCCAACUGUAUAAGCGGCUGGCAAUUCUUGUUACUAAAAUCCCGAACAAACUGAAGAGAACAUUACACGUGCGUUGCCUUUAUUAGUAUACAGAAGAUGUUCAAAAGAAAGUUAACUCUAUAAUAAGGAAAUAAAACUCCGCGACUCAAACGAAACGCGAAUGCCAUGUUGUGUUACUAAGAUGCCGAAGAGGAAAGAACAUGGUGCGUGCGUGUCUUUUAGGUUAUUUAGGACACUCAAGUGGUUCAUGAGAAAGUAUAAAUGAAGACAUAAGAAAUAAAAGCUAUAUCGUCCGUCUCAGCGCAGAACGGCUAGCGAGUGGAUUGCUACAGAUGCCGAACGGAACAUUUAUCAUAUCACGUGCUUAAGAUUCAGUGGUCUCCAGUGACUCACGAGAAAAUAGACUUGAAGACGAAAGAAUAUUAUAUACUAUACUUAAUGCAACAGAAGUUUUCACAUGCUCUCUAAAAAGGAUGACGCAUUUUUUCUUUUUUUUUUCUUUCUCUUUCUCGUUUUUUUCUGCCGCUUUAUACUUACAGAAACCUUUGUUCUCAAAACCAAGUGAUACAUAAUUUAAUAAUAUAUAAUGAUACACAGUUUAGUCUAUUCUUUAAUUCUCAACAUGAAGAUAAUAUCGAAAAGGAGAACUACUACGUUUUUAAGGCAUUGUAGAGGCCAAAUCUCUUAACUAUAGACUCCAGCUUGUGACGAGAAUGGAGAGAACAUAUUUUUACAGCAAAGGCAGCGGCUAACAGGCAAAAACAACCAGAACAAAGAAAGGGAAAAAGCCUUCUAAGCACUGCUCCUAUGAAAGAGAAGAGAAGCCAGAAGAGAGGUUAAUUUCUGAUGGAGAGAUGCCUUGAUACUCUCCCCUUGCACAGUUAGCCGCACAGCCUAAUUCAAAAAAGUCCUUGGUAGCGAUCAUCCUUUUAAGAGAAGCUUGGCACACGAACUUCGGUAUAUUUAACAUUAGGAGAGGUUUGGCGCUUUGGCUGGUGAACUUAAAAUGAACUUACACGGCUAAAUGAACAUUAAUAACAACGAUGGUGCUAAUAAUAGUACUAAUAGCGGUAAAUAUAGACAUAGAAAUAAUGAUGAUAUUAGUAAAGUUCUGCAAACCACCACCGUCAUCAUGCAUUCACUUCCUGGACUCUUCUUUUUGGCAACGAACGAGACAUUUAGGAAAAAGUGGUGUGAUCUUUUUGGUUUGGACAGUAGGCUACCAAUAAGUAAAACAGGAAAGAAUAUAAAAAGAAAGGCGACCAAUUUCACAUGAUAAGCGAAAUUUAAAUGAAUGCACUAAACUACACAGAAACUUACACUUAUAAAACACACACACACACACACACACACACACACACACACACAUUCACUCAGUCUUACUAUAUAAUUAUGGCUGUAACAUAAUAAAUGGAAGCAAUUAAUAUAUAUUUUGUAUAAUUGUAUAUUUUCAUGUCUAUACUCUCUCUCUCUCUCUCUCUCUCUCUCUCUCUCUCUCUCUCUCUCUCUCUCUCUCUCUCUCUCUCUCUCUCUC
Eriocheir sinensis (Chinese mitten crab) is the source of this 6961-nucleotide long non-coding RNA. RefSeq lists it as uncharacterized. The record is from RefSeq and is a predicted model, not a curated record. The transcript is spliced from 2 exons. NCBI's taxonomy places the organism in Eukaryota, Metazoa, Arthropoda, Malacostraca, Decapoda, Varunidae.